Molecule: transfer RNA, 69 nt
Filed under: Podilymbus podiceps
Lineage: Eukaryota; Metazoa; Chordata; Aves; Podicipediformes; Podicipedidae
Description: tRNA-Gly
Source: RNAcentral
GCCCUUCUAGUAUAUUAAUUACAAUUGACUUCCAAUCUCUAAAAUCUGGCACAAACCCAGAGAUGGGCA